ACAUUUUUAUUUUAAACUUAUACAGGCAAAUAUCAGAUGCCAUGUGGUUUGUCUCUGACCCUUUGCGCUACUUCAUGACAGCUUUACUGAGUGAAGCCUGAAUACCCAAUCGGGAAAGCAAGAUGUUCUUGUCUUUUCCCAACUCUCUUCAAAGUUUAACAGCCUUGGAAGGAGUCUUAGAACAGCAACAAAAGCACAAUUAACAGAAAAAUGGAGGUGCUGCUAUCUGUUUCUCGCAGGUUUAUUCUUAAUAACUAUGUCCAUUUUCACAUGGAUGACACCAUUGAGAUGAUGAAUACCUGUAUUGAUUGAUUGAUGAAGAACAUUUAUCUUUUUCUACCUACUUUUGGAAGCUAGCUUGAAAAAUCUACUGCAACAUUCACUCUUCAUGUAUUCUUCUAUUACCUUUGGUACCCUGAAUAACCUUUUAAAAAAUUUUUGCACUUUUCUAAUAUGAAGAGAAAUAGCUUCAUAUUCUAUGCUAGUUUUUUGAGGUGCUUGUGCUGACUCAUUUUUUAAAUUAUACUAAGAUAUAGAGCAUGGUUUGAGAGCAGUAAUGAGAUUCUCAGAAAAUAUGAAAACUUUCCUUUCUGACUAGUUAGAGAAAGGUUGGGGAAGACAAGGGGAAAUACAUCAAUGAGCCAAUCAAUUAUUGUUAUUUGUUGGGAUUAAUUCGGUGACUAAUAUUUUUAAUGCCCAUCAGGCUACUAAAUGUGAAUUUGGCUUUACCCUGUAAUGAUAACAGGACAAACCCAACAGGUUUCUAACAUUGCUUGUUUUCCCCUGGUAGGGGAUUUCUUUGCAUAUGGGAAAUCAGGCCGAAGUUGCCAGUAACAGCCACAUCCAUGGUUUGUAUUAAAAAUAACUAUUCAUCAUUCUGGGCUAGAGCUCUGCUUACCAUGGCUCACCUGGGAAGAUAUUCUGAUUAUGUAUCUAAUCAUUAUGAUGCCACCUUUCAAGAGGUGAGCAGACAAUUAACAAGUCCUUCAAAUUAUGUUCAAAACCCAGAGUUUGAGAAAAUGUUCCAAUGCCUUCAAGUGUGAAGAUAAUAAAAAUAUUACCUAAUGCUUAACCGUUCACUGACACUGUGCUGGGCAGACAUUGUUUUCAGCUCUGGCCUUGUGUUAACUCAUGGUUCUCAGAGGAGUGGGUAUUAUUCCCAGAUGGAAGAUGAAGAAAUGGCCACAGAGAAGUUAAGUAAUUUGUCCAAGGUCACAUUACUGUUCUUGGCGGGGCUGAUUCCAGAGGCUGCAUCCCUAACUAGUGUACAGCAAAAGCGAACUGGCCACUGCCACUUUGUUAUAAGACAUUUUGUUCUUUGAGGCUUGUAUUUCUUUGUGUUCCCAAAUGGAGUCUUGUUGGUUUUUGAAUAGAAAAUAUUUUUAUAUGUUUAGGAUUUUUUUAAAUGUUGAUGAAGAUGGUGAUAAAUAUUUUUCCAAUUAAAGUAUAUACUUCUGGUGGAAAUUAUAUUAAAGCAGAGAAAGUCUUAAUUUUUA
This 1496-nucleotide small RNA is filed under the name Pongo abelii (Sumatran orangutan). RNAcentral describes it as "sense intronic". Lineage: Eukaryota; Metazoa; Chordata; Mammalia; Primates; Hominidae. The record is from RNAcentral.